Molecule: ribosomal RNA, 514 nt
Filed under: uncultured bacterium
Lineage: Bacteria
Description: bacterial SSU rRNA
Rfam family: Bacterial small subunit ribosomal RNA
Source: RNAcentral
AUCAUGGCUCAGGAUGAACGCUAGCUACAGGCUUAACACAUGCAAGUCGAGGGGCAGCAUUAUCGAAGCUUGCUUUGAUAGAUGGCGACCGGCGCACGGGUGAGUAACGCGUAUCCAACCUUCCCAUCACUCAGGGAUAGCCCGCCGAAAGGCGAAUUAAUACCUGAUGGUCUCCUUUGCAGACAUCUAACGAGGAGUAAAGAUUUAUUGGUGAUGGAUGGGGAUGCGUCUGAUUAGGUAGUAGGCGGGGUAACGGCCCACCUAGCCGACGAUCAGUAGGGGUUCUGAGAGGAAGGUCCCCCACAUUGGAACUGAGACACGGUCCAAACUCCCACGGGAGGCAGCAGUGAGGAAUAUUGGUCAAUGGACGGAAGUCUGAACCAGCCAAGUAGCGUGCAAGGAUGACGGCCCUAUGGGUUGUAAACUGCUUUUGUGCGGGAAUAAAGUAUGGGACGUGUCCCAUUUUGCAUGUACCGCACGAAUAAGGACCGGCUAAUUCCGUGCCAGCCGCUGC